Molecule: ribosomal RNA, 417 nt
Filed under: uncultured Escherichia sp.
Lineage: Bacteria; Pseudomonadati; Pseudomonadota; Gammaproteobacteria; Enterobacterales; Enterobacteriaceae
Description: bacterial SSU rRNA
Rfam family: Bacterial small subunit ribosomal RNA
Source: RNAcentral
CCAUAACUACUGGAAACGGUAGCUAAUACCGCAUAACGUCGCAUAACCAAAGAGGGGGACCUUCGGGCCUCUUGCCAUCGGAUGUGCCCAGAUGGGAUUAGCUAGUAGGUGGGGUAACGGCUCACCUAGGCGACGAUCCCUAGCUGGUCUGAGAGGAUGACCAGCCACACUGGAACUGAGACACGGUCCAGACUCCUACGGGAGGCAGCAGUGGGGAAUAUUGCACAAUGGGCGCAAGCCUGAUGCAGCCAUGCCGCGUGUAUGAAGAAGGCCUUCGGGUUGUAAAGUACUUUCAGCGGGGAGGAAGGGAGUAAAGUUAAUACCUUUGCUCAUUGACGUUACCCGCAGAAAAAGCACCGGCUAACUCCGUGCCAGCAGCCGCGGUAAUACGGAGGGUGCAAGCGUUAAUCGGAAUUU